GGAUGUUAUCAAACCAUCAUUAACGCACUGAAUCCCAUCAAAACUUCGAAGUUAAGCAUGUUUGAAUGAGAGUAGUACUAGUGCUAGGAUAGGUGACCCCAGGAAGUACUCGUGUUGCAUUCC
RNAcentral lists this ribosomal RNA (123 nucleotides) under Capsicum annuum. The record is from RNAcentral. Lineage: Eukaryota; Viridiplantae; Streptophyta; Magnoliopsida; Solanales; Solanaceae.